AGUGAACGCUGGCGGUAGGCCUAACACAUGCAAGUCGAACGGCAGCACAGUAAGAGCUUGCUCUUACGGGUGGCGAGUGGCGGACGGGAGAGGAAUACAUCGGAAUCUACUUUUUCGUGGGGGAUAACGUAGGGAAACUUACGCUAAUACCGCAUACGACCUACGGGUGAAAGCAGGGGAUCUUCGGACCUUGCGCGAUUGAAUGAGCCGAUGUCGGAUUAGCUAGUUGGCGGGGUAAAGGCCCACCAAGGCGACGAUCCGUAGCUGGUCUGAGAGGAUGAUCAGCCACACUGGAACUGAGACACGGUCCAGACUCCUACGGGAGGCAGCAGUGGGGAAUAUUGGACAAUGGGCGCAAGCCUGAUCCAGCCAUACCGCGUGGGUGAAGAAGGCCUUCGGGUUGUAAAGCCCUUUUGUUGGGAAAGAAAAGCAGCAGGUUAAUACCCCGCUGUUCUGACGGUACCCAAAGAAUAAGCACCGGCUAACUUCGU
This 491-nucleotide ribosomal RNA is filed under the name uncultured bacterium. RNAcentral describes it as "partial 16S ribosomal RNA". It matches the Rfam family "Bacterial small subunit ribosomal RNA", at positions 29 to 506 of the family's 1533-position model. The record is from RNAcentral.